UACAGAGGCCCCAAGCGUUGUUCGGAUUCACUGGGCGUAAAGGGUGCGUAGGCGGUCGGGUAAGUCUGACGUGAAAUCUUCAAGCUCAACUUGGAAACUGCGUCGGAUACUAUUCGGCUAGAGGAAUGGAGGGGAGACUGGAAUACUUGGUGUAGCAGUGAAAUGCGUAGAUAUCAAGUGGAACACCAGUGGCGAAGGCGAGUCUCUGGACAUUUCCUGACGCUGAGGCACGAAAGCCAGGGGAGCAAACGGG
This 253-nucleotide ribosomal RNA is filed under the name uncultured bacterium. Its description in RNAcentral is "partial 16S ribosomal RNA". It matches the Rfam family "Bacterial small subunit ribosomal RNA", at positions 524 to 776 of the family's 1533-position model. The record is from RNAcentral.